AUUGAACGCUGGCGGCAGGCUUAACACAUGCAAGUCGAGCGGGGUGAUGGUGCUUGCACUAUCACUUAGCGGCGGACGGGUGAGUAAUGCUUAGGAAUCUGCCUAUUAGUGGGGGACAACAUCUCGAAAGGGAUGCUAACACCGCAUACGUCCUACGGGAGAAAGCAGGGGAUCACUUGUGACCUUGCGCUAAUAGAUGAGCCUAAGUCGGAUUAGCUAGUUGGUGGGGUAAAGGCCUACCAAGGCGACGAGCUGUAGCGGGUCUGAGAGGAUGAUCCGCCACACUGGGACUGAGACACGGCCCAGACGCCUACGGGAGGCAGCAGUGGGGAAUAUUGGACAAUGGGGGGAACCCUGAUCCAGCCAUGCCGCGUGUGUGAAGAAGGCCCUAUGGUUGUAAAGCACUUUAAGCGAGGAGGAGGCUCUUUUGGUUAAUACCCAAGAUGAGUGGACGUUACUCGCAGAAUAAGCACCGGCUAACUCUGUGCCAGCAGCCGCAGUAA
RNAcentral lists this ribosomal RNA (503 nucleotides) under uncultured bacterium. RNAcentral describes it as "partial 16S ribosomal RNA". It matches the Rfam family "Bacterial small subunit ribosomal RNA", at positions 30 to 523 of the family's 1533-position model. The record is from RNAcentral.